Molecule: ribosomal RNA, 497 nt
Filed under: uncultured bacterium
Lineage: Bacteria
Description: partial 16S ribosomal RNA
Rfam family: Bacterial small subunit ribosomal RNA
Source: RNAcentral
GAUGAACGCUGGCGGCGUGCCUAAUACAUGCAAGUCGAGCGAACAGACGAGGAGCUUGCUCCUCUGACGUUAGCGGCGGACGGGUGAGUAACACGUGGAUAACCUACCUAUAAGACUGGGAUAACUUCGGGAAACCGGAGCUAAUACCGGAUAAUAUAUUGAACCGCAUGGUUCAAUAGUGAAAGACGGUUUUGCUGUCACUUAUAGAUGGAUCCGCGCCGCAUUAGCUAGUUGGUAAGGUAACGGCUUACCAAGGCAACGAUGCGUAGCCGACCUGAGAGGGUGAUCGGCCACACUGGAACUGAGACACGGUCCAGACUCCUACGGGAGGCAGCAGUAGGGAAUCUUCCGCAAUGGGCGAAAGCCUGACGGAGCAACGCCGCGUGAGUGAUGAAGGUCUUCGGAUCGUAAAACUCUGUUAUUAGGGAAGAACAAAUGUGUAAGUAACUAUGCAUGUCUUGAUGGUACCUAAUCAGAAAGCCACGGCUAACUACGUG